GUCGACGAUUCACGUGUAGCAGUGAAAUGCGUAGAGAUGUGGAGGAAUACCGAUGGCGAAGGCAGCCCCCUGGGCCAAUACUGACGCUCAUGCACGAAAGCGUGGGGAGCAAACAGGAUUAGAUACCCUGGUAGUCCACGCCCUAAACGAUGUCAACUAGUUGUCGGGUCUUCAUUGACUUGGUAACGUAGCUAACGCGUGAAGUUGACCGCCUGGGGAGUACGGUCGCAAGAUUAAAACUCAAAGGAAUUGACGGGGACCCGCACAAGCGGUGGAUGAUGUGGAUUAAUUCGAUGCAACGCGAAAAACCUUACCUACCCUUGACAUGUAUGGAAUCCUGCUGAGAGGUGGGAGUGCCCGAAAGGGAGCCAUAACACAGGUGCUGCAUGGCUGUCGUCAGCU
RNAcentral lists this ribosomal RNA (402 nucleotides) under uncultured Pseudomonadota bacterium. RNAcentral's name for it is "bacterial SSU rRNA". It matches the Rfam family "Bacterial small subunit ribosomal RNA", at positions 660 to 1060 of the family's 1533-position model. The record is from RNAcentral. Lineage: Bacteria; Pseudomonadati; Pseudomonadota.